GAUCAUGGCUCAGGACGAACGCUGGCGGCGUGCUUAACACAUGCAAGUCGAACGAGAAUCUACUGAAAGAGUUUUUGGACAAUGGAAGUAGAGGAAAGUGGCGGACGGGUGAGUAACGCGUGAGGAACCUGCCUUGAAGAGGGGGACAACAGUUGGAAACGACUGCUAAUACCGGCAUGACGCAUAGGGGUCGCAUGAUCUUUAUGCCAAAGAUUUAUCGCUUCAAGAUGGCCUCGCGU
Molecule: ribosomal RNA, 239 nt
Filed under: uncultured bacterium
Lineage: Bacteria
Description: partial 16S ribosomal RNA
Rfam family: Bacterial small subunit ribosomal RNA
Source: RNAcentral